RNAcentral lists this ribosomal RNA (431 nucleotides) under uncultured bacterium. RNAcentral describes it as "partial 16S ribosomal RNA". It matches the Rfam family "Bacterial small subunit ribosomal RNA", at positions 29 to 507 of the family's 1533-position model. The record is from RNAcentral.
AACGAACGCUGGCGGCAGGCUUAACACAUGCAAGUCGAGCGCCCCGCCAGGGGAGCGGCAGACGGGUGAGUAACGCGUGGGAACGUACCUUUUGGUCCGGAACAACUCCGGGAAACUGGAGCUAAUACCGGAUAAGCCCUAACGGGGAAAGAUUUAUCGCCGAAAGAUCGGCCCGCGUCUGAUUAGCUAGUUGGUGAGGUAACGGCUCACCAAGGCGACGAUCAGUAGCUGGUCUGAGAGGAUGAUCAGCCACACUGGGACUGAGACACGGCCCAGACUCCUACGGGAGGCAGCAGUGGGGAAUAUUGGACAAUGGGCGCAAGCCUGAUCCAGCCAUGCCGCGUGAGUGAUGAAGGCCUUAGGGUUGUAAAGCUCUUUUGUCCGGGAAGAUAAUGACUGUACCGGAAGAAUAAGCCCCGGCUAACUUCGUG